UCAAGAUAAGGAAGACAUAAACAUUAAACAUAAACCAUAGUACUCUCUCUGUUUCAACCAAGAUGAUGAGAAGAACACGUGAAGAUGAACAAUCACGUGCUUUCUACGACCUAUCUGCAAUCCUUCUCAACCUCCUCCGCUCACCACCAACGCCGUUGAAUUUCUCCAAUCAUCCACCGGAGCAACCGUUACGGCGUUUACCUCCACCUCAAAUCUCACCCGCGGGUUUUGCCUCCCUUCUUCUGGGAAUUUCGAUGGCUUUGAUGCUCUGUGGAUCUGUCACGUUCUUUAUUGGGUUUGUUUUGAUGCCAUGGGUUAUUGGAUUGAUUAUGGUUCUCUAUGUUGCUGG
Molecule: long non-coding RNA, 349 nt
Filed under: Medicago truncatula (barrel medic)
Lineage: Eukaryota; Viridiplantae; Streptophyta; Magnoliopsida; Fabales; Fabaceae
Description: long non-coding RNA (MTRU_LNC000991)
Source: RNAcentral